Molecule: transfer RNA, 73 nt
Filed under: Zingiber officinale
Lineage: Eukaryota; Viridiplantae; Streptophyta; Magnoliopsida; Zingiberales; Zingiberaceae
Description: tRNA-Tyr
Rfam family: tRNA
About the family: Transfer RNA (tRNA) molecules are approximately 80 nucleotides in length. Their secondary structure includes four short double-helical elements and three loops (D, anti-codon, and T loops). Further hydrogen bonds mediate the characteristic L-shaped molecular structure. tRNAs have two regions of fundamental functional importance: the anti-codon, which is responsible for specific mRNA codon recognition, and the 3' end, to which the tRNAs corresponding amino acid is attached (by aminoacyl-tRNA synthetases). tRNAs cope with the degeneracy of the genetic code in two manners: having more than one tRNA (with a specific anti-codon) for a particular amino acid; and 'wobble' base-pairing, i.e. permitting non-standard base-pairing at the 3rd anti-codon position.
Source: RNAcentral
CCGACCUUAGCUCAGUUGGUAGAGCGGAGGACUGUAGAUCCUUAGGUCGCUGGUUCGAGUCUGGCAGGUCGGA